RNAcentral lists this ribosomal RNA (496 nucleotides) under uncultured bacterium. RNAcentral's name for it is "partial 16S ribosomal RNA". It matches the Rfam family "Bacterial small subunit ribosomal RNA", at positions 28 to 506 of the family's 1533-position model. The record is from RNAcentral.
GAUGAACGCUGGCGGCGUGCCUAAUACAUGCAAGUCGAGCGAACAGACGAGGAGCUUGCUCCUUUGACGUUAGCGGCGGACGGGUGAGUAACACGUGGGUAACCUACCUAUAAGACUGGGAUAACUUCGGGAAACCGGAGCUAAUACCGGAUAAUAUUUCGAACCGCAUGGUUCGAUAGUGAAAGAUGGCUUUGCUAUCACUUAUAGAUGGACCUGCGCCGUAUUAGCUAGUUGGUAAGGUAACGGCUUGCCAAGGCAACGAUACGUAGCCGACCUGAGAGGGUGAUCGGCCACACUGGAACUGAGACACGGUCCAGACUCCUACGGGAGGCAGCAGUAGGGAAUCUUCCGCAAUGGGCGAAAGCCUGACGGAGCAACGCAGCGUGAGUGAUGAAGGUCUUCGGAUCGUAAAACUCUGUUAUUAGGGAAGAACAAACGUGUAAGUAACUGUGCACGUCUUGACGGUACCUAAUCAGAAAGCCACGGCAAACUACGU